CAAAAUAAUGACAACGAAAAUAACAUCAAGGAGACAUUGGAACAGCAUCGGCAACAGCAACAGGCCUUUUCAGGUAUGAGUCACGUGGAAUAUUCCAGAAUUACA
Molecule: non-coding RNA, 105 nt
Filed under: Saccharomyces mikatae IFO 1815
Lineage: Eukaryota; Fungi; Ascomycota; Saccharomycetes; Saccharomycetales; Saccharomycetaceae
Description: Ure2 internal ribosome entry site (IRES)
Rfam family: Ure2 internal ribosome entry site (IRES)
Source: Rfam by way of RNAcentral